GAUUUCCACCCGAAGGUGGUCCUUGAGAGAAGGUCUUAGAUGUUUAGAAGAGGUUACGUUACUUUCUUUGGUAUCACUUAUUAUUUCCUUCAGGCAAACCACAUGUCAGAGGACCUCUAUCUGAAAAUGACAUGUCCUUGAAGUUAGAAGCACUGAGGAAAACAUUUGCUUUGAGUGCAUUGUAUAGGACCACAUUAACAGUGAAAGACCCAUGACAGCUGUCUACUAGCAUACAGCAGGAUAUAAAAAGAAGACAGCUGUCUGUAAACAAAGAAGAGGGUUUGCAACGAGAACCUGACCACGCUGUCACAUCGAUUUCAGACUUCCAGCUUCCAGAACGGUCAUCUUGGUUUCUUCAAAUGUUAAGCUGGCAGCCUGAUUCAAUGUUAUAAAAACCCAUCAGUUGUCCAAGAAGCAGGACAGCAAGAGAGAAUGAACCAAGAAUCAUCAGUCAAAAAUGAUAAUUCCAACUAGAUCUAUGAGCAUAUCAAGUCAGGAUGGGAGAACUAACGAAACUGAGCAAUCAGAAUAAGACAUUGGAAGCAUCAGAGCAGGAGCAUCUUUGGGUCAGGAAUUUGGUCAUCUUUGGGACAGCAAGACCUCGCCUGUGGUCUGUGUCAUCUGCGGCAUCAACGAGGAGGACUCCAUGGCUGGAGAUGACUCACCAGGCUUUGGUAUCAGGACAAUGCUGGCCUCAUGAAAUGUGUUAGGGAGGAUUCCCUCUUUUUCUAUCGAUUGGAAUAGUUUCAGAAGGAAUGGCACCAGUUCCUCCUUGUACCUCUGGUAGAAUUCAGCUGUGAAUCCAUCAGGUCCUGGACUCUUUUUGGUUGUAAAGAAUUCAGUGUGGAACAUACGCAAACACAGGAUAUCCAAAAAAGAACAAGAUGAGGGGAGAAGAAACUAAAGUCAAAACAGUGCAAUACCAUAAACCUCAAUUAACACCAUGGGACCAGUAUGAAAUGCCACAGGUGAUGCUGAAAGCGCACCCAAGAAGCAGAGAAAAGUCAUGACAUUACAAGAAAAAGUUGGAUUCCUUGUGUUCUCAGGAACUCCCACAAGACAAUGAAAAUGAGUCAACAGAAGCACCUUGUGGUUGACAGUGUCUUGUUGAAGAUAAAGAUGGAAGCUUGCAAGUCAAAACAUUCAAAAGAAAUGAAGAUUUCUACAUACCCAAGAACCACUGAGCUAGCCAGUGAGUGAGUCAUCAUCCAUUUAUGUCACAGAUGGAAGCUUCUAAAUCAAAACAUUCAGAAGAAAUGAAGAUUUCUACAUACCCAAGAACUACUCAGCUAGCCAGUGAGUGAGUCAUCAUCCCUCACUUGGCCUGCUCUUUGGCUCCAUACUGGCUUCUUGGCUUCUGUUCCUUACCUGCUACAGUUUUUGUUCACACAGUAGCCAGAACGAUUCUGUUGAAAUGAAACAGACUAUGUCAUUUAAGCUCAAAAACCUCGAACCACUUUUCAUCUCACUCAGAAUACUAUGGUCAUGUGGAACCCAUAUUAUAUGACCUCUGGCUAACUUGUUUGACUUUAUACCUCACCAUUCUUUCGUCUCAAAGUUCACUCUAUCAGCCCUGACUCUUUGGUGGUGAAACCAAGUAUGCUUCCAUUCACUGCCUCUGCACCUACAUAACUUCUGCUUGUGAAGCUCUUCCUGGAGAUAUUUACUUGGCUCACACUCUUCAAUCAAGUCUUCGUUGAAAUGUCCCUUAUUUGAGUGUUGCUCCUGCCUAAUCUUUACAAAAUGGCACCCUUUGCAUCACUCUCUAUCCCUUAACCAUUUUUUCUUAGCUUUUUUUUUUCCCCACAGCAUUUGUCAUCAUUGGAAAUACUGCAUAACCAUUUAUUGUCUAUCAUUGCCAAUUACAAUGUGAGUUCCAUGACAUCUGGAACUUCCCUUUGCUUGUUGCUAUGUCCCAGAACCUAGAGCAGUGUCUGAUACUUGGUAGGGACUAAGUAAUUCCUUAGUCUUGAUCAUGCACAGAGAAGCACAUAUGUCUCAAAUAAUCUCAACUAAGAGCAGACUGAAGUCUCCUAAUAUUAGAACCAUUACCGACUUUUGUACUUUUCUAGGAACUGGUAUUUAGAAAAAUAAACACAAUAUCGAAAAGCAAAAACAAAACUAAUGAAAUAAUAACGUCACUAUGCUUUCUCCGGCAUUUCAUUCAAAUACAAUUAUAACUGGGGCAAAACAGUAUUUACCCUCCAAGAUGCCUCUAUGUUAGAGUCAAUUAAAAUUCACUUUUUAAGAAAGCUCAAGACCCUGCUCUCUUCCUUCCAAAUGUUAUCUAUGAAUCACUUGCAAUUUGAUAUAUUAACAAAUGAAACAAAUUAAAAUUUACAUUAUACCACUUCUGGGCACUGGGGACACAGCUUUCAAUUUUGAUGUAAUUGACUAUGCUGUGAUCAUUUGGAUGUUUCUUUAAAAAUUAAAGAAAAUUUUAAAAAAAUUUAGAGGCAGUCUCAUACUGUUUCCCAGGCUGGAGUACUAUGGCAUGAUCAUAGCUCACUGCAGCCUCAAACUCCAGGGCUCAAGUGAUCUUUCUGUUGGAACUACAGGCGUGUGGCACCAUGCCUGGCUAAUUGAAAAAAAAUUUUUUUUUCAGAAGGAGGGUCUGGCUAUAUUGCCCAGGCUGGUCUUGAAUUCUCAGCCUCAGGGGUCUCCCUACCUCAGCCUCCCAAGUAGAGAAUGUUUCUUUAAGCUCAUAGUACAAAUAUCUAGCAUAUUAAUAAUGUCAAUACUCUAACUACAUUUUGACUUUGACUUCAUCUAUCUAAUUAAGAAAAUUUAAUCUUUGAAAUGAACUAGCUUCUGUUCAAUGGUCCAGAAAAAUAAAUUCAAAUGAUAUAUUAUCAAGUUACCUAAUGCUAUUAUGCUUUCAGAGGUUUGUUUCAUUUGAAUUUUUGGAGAUUUUUUAUAAUAAAUGUUUUCAA
Molecule: long non-coding RNA, 2933 nt
Organism: Symphalangus syndactylus (siamang)
Lineage: Eukaryota; Metazoa; Chordata; Mammalia; Primates; Hylobatidae
Source: RefSeq, a predicted model, not a curated record